CCUACGGGAGGCAGCAGUGAGGAAUAUUGGUCAAUGGACGAGAGUCUGAACCAGCCAAGUAGCGUGAAGGAUGACUGCCCUAUGGGUUGUAAACUUCUUUUAUAUGGGAAUAAAAUGUUCCACGUGUGGGAUUUUGUAUGUACCAUAUGAAUAAGGAUCGGCUAACUCCGUGCCAGCAGCCGCGGUAAUACGGAGGAUCCGAGCGUUAUCCGGAGUUAUUGGGUUUAAAGGGAGCGUAGGUGGAUUGUUAAGUCAGUUGUGAAAGUUUGCGGCUCAACCGUAAAAUUGCAGUUGAAACUGGCAGUCUUGAGUACAGUAGAGGUGGGCGGAAUUCGUGGUGUAGCGGUGAAAUGCUUAGAUAUCACGAAGAACUCCGAUUGCGAAGGCAGUUCACUGGACUGCAACUGACACUGAGGCUCGAAAGUGUGGGUAUCAAACAGGAUUAGAUACCCCUGUAGUC
Molecule: ribosomal RNA, 460 nt
Filed under: uncultured bacterium
Lineage: Bacteria
Description: partial 16S ribosomal RNA
Rfam family: Bacterial small subunit ribosomal RNA
Source: RNAcentral